GACGAACGCUGGCGGCGUGCUUAACACAUGCAAGUCGAACGGAAAGGCCCUGCUUUUGCGUGGUUCUCGUGUGCCGAACGGGUGAGUAACACGUGAGUAACCUGCCCUUGUCUUUGGGAUAACUUCAGGAAACUGGGGCUCAUACCGGAUAGGAGCUCCUGCUGCAUGGUGGGGGUUGGAAAGUUUCGGCGGUUGUGGAUGGACUGGCGGCUUAUGAGCUUGUUGGUGGGGUAGUGGCUUACCAAGGUUUUGACGGGUAGCCGGCCUGAGAGGGUUACCGGCCACAUUGGGACUGAGAGACGGCCCAGAAGCCUACGGGAGGCAGCAGUGGGGAAUAUUGCAGAAUGGGCGGAAGCCUGAUGCAGCAACGCCGCGUGCGGGAUGACGGCCUUCGGGUUGUAAACCGCUGUCGCAUGUGCCGAAGCGUGCGUGACGGUAAUGGGUAAAGAAGCACCGGCUAACUACGUG
This 468-nucleotide ribosomal RNA is filed under the name uncultured bacterium. RNAcentral's name for it is "partial 16S ribosomal RNA". It matches the Rfam family "Bacterial small subunit ribosomal RNA", at positions 28 to 507 of the family's 1533-position model. The record is from RNAcentral.